This is a small nucleolar RNA of Oryza rufipogon (brownbeard rice), 140 nucleotides long. It matches the Rfam family "Small nucleolar RNA Z247". Rfam says of the family: Z247 is a member of the C/D class of snoRNA which contain the C (UGAUGA) and D (CUGA) box motifs. Most of the members of the box C/D family function in directing site-specific 2'-O-methylation of substrate RNAs. The record is from Rfam. Lineage: Eukaryota; Viridiplantae; Streptophyta; Magnoliopsida; Poales; Poaceae.
ACCCUGUGACGAUGAAGACAUCAUGUCCUACAUCCUCGCCGGCCUCGACGACGACUAUGAACCCGUGGUUUCAUCACUGGUAGGCAAGACCAAGCCAGUUCACAUCUUUGUAGUUUACUCUCAACUUUUAUGUUUUGAGU